UACAGAGGUGGCAAGCGUUGUUCGGAAUUACUGGGCGUAAAGGGCGCGUAGGCGGUUCGUUAAGUCCUGUGUGAAAUCCCCCGGCUCAACUGGGGAACUGCACAGGAAACUAGCGGGCUUGAGUUCGGGAGAGGGAAGCGGAAUUCCGGGUGUAGCGGUGAAAUGCGUAGAUAUCAUUUGGAACGCCAAUGGUGAAAACAGGUAGCUGGGGAUGUGCUGACGCUGAGACACGAAAGCCAGGGGAGCGAACGGG
Molecule: ribosomal RNA, 253 nt
Filed under: uncultured bacterium
Lineage: Bacteria
Description: partial 16S ribosomal RNA
Rfam family: Bacterial small subunit ribosomal RNA
Source: RNAcentral